This 368-nucleotide long non-coding RNA is filed under the name Phaseolus vulgaris (common bean). RNAcentral describes it as "long non-coding RNA (PVUL_LNC004628)". Lineage: Eukaryota; Viridiplantae; Streptophyta; Magnoliopsida; Fabales; Fabaceae. The record is from RNAcentral.
ACGAGCAAUUCGGCUACCUGGAUUAACUUUACCUGAAUUACCACCUCUACCUUCAGUCACAUUGCCAACUCUACCUCCAGUCUCAUUGCCACAUCUAAGAGUACCACCUCUACCUUCAGUCACAUUGCCAACUCUACCUCCAGUCUCAUUGCCACCUCUAAGAGUACCACCUCUACCUUCAGUCACAUUGCCAACUCUACCUCCAGUCUCAUUGCCACCUCUAAGAGUACCACCUCUACCUUCAGUCACAUUGCCAACUCUACCUCCAGUCUCAUUGCCACCUCUAAGAGUACCACCUCUACCUUCAGUCACAUUGCCAACUCUACCUCCAGUCUCAUUGCCACCUCUACCUCCAGUCACAUUGCCAC